GGAAGAGAGCUGCACGCUGGUUCACAUAGACAGCACCAGGAGCAGAACACCUCCACUAUAAUGGAAGGCUCAGCAUCAUUGCGUUGGGUGCCAUCUGCCUUAAACCUCACCAGACGAUGAUGAUCCACAACAGUACAAGGAAGCGCUGCUGCUGCCUGCUGCCUGCUGGUGAUGGCGUCACCUGGCAGCAAGCGAGGGCUCGCCUCAGAUCGCCUUUGGACGUUCCGUGCCAACGGGGAGACUUCCUCCAGGUGUGUUCGCGGGACAUUUUGCAUUGUGCCAGCCCCAGAGGGUCGUGCCAAGACAUCAGCCGGCUUCCGUCAGUUUAAACACUCUCCCGGAGCAAACAAGCCAUUUCAUCUCAGCAGAAAAAGAGAGGUGUCGACUGACAUCCAGUUUUUUAUAUGCAGGCCUGUUUUCCCCUUUCCCUCUCCUCCUCUCUGCUCCUCUCUCUAUGGGUCCUGUUAACCGGUGUUUUGACGUAGAUUACAACUUUCGCUUUAGAAUUUUGGUGUCUGUCCUGACAGCCUUAUCGCGUAGUUUUAGUUUUCAAAUGAUUGGGGAGGAAGGGGGGCUAAUUUCCUGUUUGUGUGCCUGCCUUCACCACUUUUGAUCCCCAAACUACUUUCUUUUGUCCUGGUUUCAAUCUUACCUGUGUGAGGAAACAAGUUGGCAUCCCACAAUUUAACAGUUGAUUUGAAUAUGAAUAUCCUGUGCAUCCUGUUUUUAUUAUUAUCAUUUUACAUGAUUUUGGGAUAUGAAAUAUACAGCUGUUUAUGAUCAGGUUGAAUA
Molecule: long non-coding RNA, 792 nt
Organism: Engraulis encrasicolus (European anchovy)
Lineage: Eukaryota; Metazoa; Chordata; Actinopteri; Clupeiformes; Engraulidae
Exons: 4
Source: RefSeq, a predicted model, not a curated record